AACGCUAGCUACAGGCUUAACACAUGCAAGUCGAGGGGCAGCAUGGUCUUAGCUUGCUAAGGCCGAUGGCGACCGGCGCACGGGUGAGUAACGCGUAUCCAACCUGCCUUACACUCUUGGACAGCCUUCUGAAAGGGAGAUUAAUACAAGAUGUUAUCAUGAGUAAGCAUUUUCGCAUGAUUAAAGGUUUACCGGUGUAAGAUGGGGAUGCGUUCCAUUAGAUAGUAGGCGGGGUAACGGCCCACCUAGUCUUCGAUGGGUAGGGGUUCUGAGAGGAAGGUCCCCCACAUUGGAACUGAGACACGGUCCAAACUCCUACGGGAGGCAGCAGUGAGGAAUAUUGGUCAAUGGACGAGAGUCUGAACCAGCCAAGUAGCGUGAAGGAUGAAGGUUCUAUGGAUUGUAAACUUCUUUUAUACGGGAAUAAACGGAUCCACGUGUGGAUUUUUGCAUGUACCGUAUGAAUAAGGAUCGGCUAACUCCGUGCCAGCAGCCGCGGUAAUACGGAGGAUCCGAGCGUUAUCCGGAUUUAUUGGGUUUAAAGGGAGCGUAGAUGGGUGUUUAAGUCAGUUGUGAAAGUUUGCGGCUCAACCGUAAAAUUGCAGUUGAUACUGGAUAUCUUGAGUGCAGUUGAGGCAGGCGGAAUUCGUGGUGUAGCGGUGAAAUGCUUAGAUAUCACGAAGAACUCCGAUUG
This 694-nucleotide ribosomal RNA is filed under the name uncultured bacterium. RNAcentral describes it as "bacterial SSU rRNA". It matches the Rfam family "Bacterial small subunit ribosomal RNA", at positions 32 to 715 of the family's 1533-position model. The record is from RNAcentral.